CCUACGGGUGGCAGCAGUGAGGAAUAUUGGACAAUGGGCGCAAGCCUGAUCCAGCCAUGCCGCGUGCAGGAAGACGGUCCUAUGGAUUGUAAACUGCUUUUGCACAGGAAGAAACACUCGUUCGUGAACGAGCUUGACGGUACUGUGAGAAUAAGGAUCGGCUAACUCCGUGCCAGCAGCCGCGGUAAUACGGAGGAUCCAAGCGUUAUCCGGAAUCAUUGGGUUUAAAGGGUCCGUAGGCGGUUUAGUAAGUCAGUGGUGAAAGCCCAUCGCUCAACGGUGGAACGGCCAUUGAUACUGCUAGACUUGAAUUAUUAGGAAGUAACUAGAAUAUGUAGUGUAGCGGUGAAAUGCUUAGAGAUUACAUGGAAUACCAAUUGCGAAGGCAGGUUACUACUAAUUGAUUGACGCUGAUGGACGAAAGCGUGGGUAGCGAACAGGAUUAGAUACCCGGGUAGUC
This 460-nucleotide ribosomal RNA is filed under the name uncultured bacterium. Its description in RNAcentral is "bacterial SSU rRNA". It matches the Rfam family "Bacterial small subunit ribosomal RNA", at positions 338 to 795 of the family's 1533-position model. The record is from RNAcentral.